Long non-coding RNA from Dreissena polymorpha, 659 nucleotides. RefSeq lists it as uncharacterized. Lineage: Eukaryota; Metazoa; Mollusca; Bivalvia; Myida; Dreissenidae. The transcript has 2 exons. The record is from RefSeq and is a predicted model, not a curated record.
CAAACAAUGUAAUAUACCAAUCGUGAUAUUUUAAUCAAUAUAAGCUAAUUAUUGUAAAAAAAAACGGUAUUUAAGAACUUUUCUAUUCUCGUCUUUCGUGGUUGACUGUCCAUUUAAAUAUCCAAUGACGCCGAACAAAAAACAGAAAUCAAAACCAUUACAGAUUCUUCAACAAAACCGUAACGAAACCGAAAAUGAGUAUUUAAUACACUGGUGUGAAUGCGGUCAACACCUGCUAAUUAGUUUGCAUUGUCAAUUAAUGAUUGGAUUGAAGGAGCGACUGUUGAUAAUUAAGGACGGCAGGAACCAAGUGCUCAGAAGAGAUGUCUCGAUGGGCCACAGUCUAGUACAUCUAAGCGUCCAAAUUUCUCAGACAAGGACUAUGAUGCUAAUAAAAGAUUUCGGAAAUUCCAGGAAUCUUACAAGUUACAUACCCUUUGAUGACACAUGAAGCUGAUGACGAUAGCCAAAAGCCAGGACUCCUUAUUAUAAAUGUGUACUGAGUGCAGUUUAAUAAGACUAUUUGAUAUUGGACUGAAUGACAUCAUUGUGUCACUGUGUGAUACUGUUGAUAAGUGAUUAGUUAUGUCUACUGCAUGUCACACCAGACUACUUGUUGUAUUAUGUGUAUGUAGAUGAAUAAAUAAAAUAAACAUGAA